GACGAACGCUGGCGGCGUGCUUAACACAUGCAAGUCGAACGGAAAGGCCCUGCUUUUGUGGGGUGCUCGAGUGGCGAACGGGUGAGUAACACGUGAGUAACCUGCCCUUGACUUUGGGAUAACUUCAGGAAACUGGGGCUAAUACCGGAUAGGAGCUCCUGCUGCAUGGUGGGGGUUGGAAAGUUUCGGCGGUUGGGGAUGGACUCGCGGCUUAUCAGCUUGUUGGCGGGGUAGUGGCUUACCAAGGCUUUGACGGGUAGCCGGCCUGAGAGGGUGACCGGCCACAUUGGGACUGAGAUACGGCCCAGACUCCUACGGGAGGCAGCAGUGGGGAAUAUUGCACAAUGGGCGGAAGCCUGAUACAGCAACGCCGCGUGCGGGAUGACGGCCUUCGGGUUGUAAACCGCUUUCGCCUGUGACGAAGCGUGAGUGACGGUAAUGGGUAAAGAAGCACCGGCUAACUACGUG
Molecule: ribosomal RNA, 468 nt
Filed under: uncultured bacterium
Lineage: Bacteria
Description: partial 16S ribosomal RNA
Rfam family: Bacterial small subunit ribosomal RNA
Source: RNAcentral